Molecule: small nucleolar RNA, 97 nt
Organism: Hibiscus syriacus
Lineage: Eukaryota; Viridiplantae; Streptophyta; Magnoliopsida; Malvales; Malvaceae
Source: RefSeq, a predicted model, not a curated record
UAGAAGGCUGUGAUGUUUGAAACCUACCUAUUUCAUGAAGGGUUUUCAUACCCCUCUCGUGAUUACAAAAUCACCAAUGGAUCCUUCUGAGCCUUUA